RNAcentral lists this ribosomal RNA (115 nucleotides) under uncultured bacterium. RNAcentral describes it as "partial 16S ribosomal RNA". It matches the Rfam family "Bacterial small subunit ribosomal RNA", at positions 1385 to 1500 of the family's 1533-position model. The record is from RNAcentral.
ACACACCGCCCGUCACACCAUGAGAGUCGGGAACACCCGAAGUCCGUAGCCUGACCGCAAGGGGGCGCGGCCGAAGGUGGGUUCGAUAAUUGGGGUGAAGUCGUAACAAGGUACC